Molecule: RNA transcript, 2145 nt
Organism: Mytilus trossulus (common blue mussel)
Lineage: Eukaryota; Metazoa; Mollusca; Bivalvia; Mytilida; Mytilidae
Exons: 7
Source: RefSeq, a predicted model, not a curated record
GGUGUAAAUAGUUGCUCAAACUAUACCCUUUGGGUAGUGCUCCACAUUUAAUGGAGGAAUAUACAAGAAACUGAACUGAACUGAACUGGUGGGUUCCAAAUGUUGUCACAUUAACCUCUUUUAUCAGUUUGGCUUCCAAUUUGAUUCCUUACGGAACUAUAAACACAUAUCACACAAGUGGGAGGUUUAUCCAGCUAUGAAAUUUGUUUCAACCACUGCCUUUAAUUAGAUUUUAAAUUUUUAGGUUAUUCGUCUCAAUUUUAAGGUGCUCCUUACAAAGGACGGACAUAUGCUUAUUAUGCUUAUGACAUAAAAUAAGUCACUACCUUCUCCUUUUCUGAUUGUUCCCCUACCCUGCCGAAGUUUCAAAAUUAUGGAAACAGCUUCUUUAUCAUCAUCUGAUGUAGAGGAAUCUGCUGCAUCUACAGAAGAAGAUAAUUUAUGUGUUAAAGAUGUCCAAAAUCAAGCACACACAUUACUCGUAUCAACUGUCAAACGCCCAAGACACAAGCCCAAAACAAGUGUGAUACCAAACAGUGUUUCUGAGUGGAAAAGAAAACAUGCCCAGAAAGUAAACAUCUAUUACAAUGACAGUUAUUAUCCUACUGCUUCAGACGUUGCAAUAAAGAAAGGAAAUCUAACUGAGUUUACGAUUCAACAGGAACAGUAUAUGAGUACUUUGAAGUCACAUCUUCAUUUUGAUGCAACUCUGCAGAAUAAUCCAUGUCAAUUUGCUACUCAUGAAUUUUACAGUAAACACAUGAAACCAACUUUGGACAGUUUAAGGAAAAAGAUAAAAUUAUCAGAUGGAGAGAACAGCAAUGACUCGUACAUAGAUGUGAUGGCAAAAGUUCACAUUGAUGGCUUUCUCUCAGAGCUUUCCGAGUAUCUUCUGAUCAGUGAACAACAGUAUAAACAUGGUGCAUGUGAAGUGGCUGAUGGAAUAUAUACACAACUUUUCUAUGCAUUUGCUACCAUGUGUCAUUUAAGACCAAGGUUUGGUGGUACAGCUCCGAGCUUUUGGAAAGGUUUACUGGGUGUUGAUGUUACCUCAAAUCCAGAUUUCCGAUUAUGUACCAAAAGUAUGUCACAUAGAGAGAAAGAAGAAGAAAGCAACAUUUGUACUGUAACCUUUGUUAAGAAAACACAACCAGUUAAAAACCAGUCAAAGAAAAGAUACAUAGAGAGUAGCUGUAGUAGUAGUGUUAGCUCUUCAACAGAAGACAGUCCAGAUGAAGAACCAGUACACAAAAAACACAGGCGAUGUUCAUUUGGUAGCAACGACAGUUCUUCAGUAUAUGGGUAUGAGAAUUUCACACCAGAAAUAGGAGACGAUUUGGAAGGUUAUGUUUUAGGACGACAUGCUGGUGAACUUUUAUUGGAUGUCAGGAAAUAUGCCAAGGGUAAUGACAAAAUGCCUGGUAUCAUAGUGAAUGGAACAAAGAUAUAUUUUACCUUGUUGGACAUCACAAGCCAUCAUAUGAUUAAACUGUACCAAAGAAAGGAACUAGAUAAAGAUAAGGAUUUUGCCACCAUAUAUUAUUCAAGGCCCUUGGACAUCUUAGUAGAAGAAGAUAGAAUACAACUGAUAGAAAACUUCACGAGACUUAAUAACUUCCAGUUUCAUAGCAAGGACUGAAGAUAGAUAUAAAGCCAUCAGUUCCAGGUCAGUGGGUUCAAACAGAAAGAUUUUGAAAGCAGAGAAAACUGUGUAUCUUAUAUUUGGCAUGACUUUAUCAGAUGACAAUACCAAUACUAAGAUAAGGCUUACGCAUAGUUAUGUACUUUAAUUCAGUCACGGACCAGCAAUAUCACAGCUUUAUCAAGUUUACAAGUUAUGGAAUUAAUGCUUUCAUUCAAAAUCUGACAUUGUGCUAAACUGAGUAUUAAAAAAUAAAGACUGACGAUGAUAUCUGCUAUUUGUAAUGCCACGGUUGCAUUCAUAUGAAAUAUGAAUAAUAAAAGUGACAAGAUGUAAUGGAUGACUUCGUUAAACAGAGAAAAUGUAUAUCCAUCUGUCUAGUGAGUGGAUUUUGUAAGGAUUAGGACAUUAUCUUUAUACAUGAGACUGAAAUAAGAGUGUAUUGUUAUAAAUCAUUUCAUCAAAAAAUAUAUAAGGUGCUGACAAUAAAGAUAAAAUAUCUA